RNAcentral lists this long non-coding RNA (845 nucleotides) under Calidris pugnax (ruff). Its description in RNAcentral is "lncRNA (ENSCPUG00000005712.1)". Lineage: Eukaryota; Metazoa; Chordata; Aves; Charadriiformes; Scolopacidae. The record is from RNAcentral.
GGCAGCUCUUUGUACAGACGGCAACAGCAGAACCUGAGGGAGAGGAACCGCAUAAAUCCUCCCACGUCUCUUUGAUAUGGAUGUUUCCCAUAACUUCAGAGGAGAGAAACCUCCAGUCUGUUCAUCAUGAAGAAAGCACUUGAAACAGAGACCAAUUUCUUCACUUCUGGCAUUCACUAAUGUUCAGAUGAUGGGACUUCAUUGCUGUGCAAACCCAAUAACAUCGGUCCAUCCAGCUUUCAAAAACAUUUGUUAUUUCUUUCAAGACAAUCCCUUUGGCCUUUGAUUAAUUCUACUUGUAACAACCAGAAGAAAACCCUACGCAAUUGUCCCAUCACUGAGACGUGGUGCUAUUACUGUCAAAUGAAGCUUUCUUUACCCCAGGUGUGGUGUUAUUAUACCGCAUACAAGAGCACCCGACAUAAGAACCAAGAAGAGAAUGCAUUUGCAGAAGGAAAGUUAGCAAGACUGGGCCUUGACUCGAGGAAGUGUCUGCCUCCAGGUGGAAGAAGUCUGGUUGCCCUAUGGUGACCAGAAGCCCUGUGUCCACACUGUACUAGCUGUGAUGGUGCUACAGGACAUUUGGAAGACACGACAAGCAUCCUGAGGCCUGAGAUUUCUCCAGGACGAGAAAGAGGAUGGCGACCAGCUCUGUGGUAACUCUACAUGCUUCCAUCUGUGUUUUCUUUUUUCUUUUUCUUGGUUGCUAAUUCCCAUUAGACAAACAGCUUUCUAUACCAUAGUUUGUUAUACAAAAUUCACAUAGAAAAUUGUUGGUCAAUAUUAAAAAGAAAAAUCCAUAGGAGAAGAGUCAGAAUAAAAUCACAUCUAUUCAAUUCUUCUCA